GAAAAAAUGGGGGUGGUGGAGUGGAUGUUACUUUUUCCAAAACCACUUUAACAAGAAAACUUUAGAUGGUUUGCGAGAAUUUGCAGUUGUGGGUUCUUGGUGUUUCUUGCAAGCAAUUAGACAACUAGUGAAAAUUGUUGCUGUUUGUUUUCUAACAACGGGCCACAUCUUGUAUAGGGAGGCAGUGAGUGUGUCUGCACAGUCCUUGGAUUUGCUGCUGGGUACGUGUGGAUGUGCUUUCCAACAGGUGGGUUUGAUUCCGAAAAGAAAAACACGGACUUGUUUCAAUCUGAAAUUAAUUUGGCAGAGGAUUGAAACGGUUUUGGGAAAGUCUGUGUUUGAUCCCAAAGCCUCAUGUGUUUUGAUCCAAAGUUCAAGCCUCGCCGGGUAUGAAGUACCUAGGAGAGAAGUAGAGUGUAAAACCUUCCCCCCUCCGGAGUUGAUGGAAGCAGUGCCAGUGUGUGCACUUGCUGGGGAUGGGAUCCAGUGUUUUCUGCUGUCUGACUUGGAGCCUGUUUUCACUGCAGUGACAGGAAAGGGGUUUAAGGGAAAAAAACCCCAAGCAUGAAACAACCCCUUUUCAGUUGACUUCAACAAGGGGGCUGUGCUGGUUCCUUUCCUUGGGACUCUCUACAGGGGAUGUGUUGGUGGGAAGCGCACUGAGCUUUCCAUCCGAGGGAUCAGCUGAAAUCCAUCUGGGUUUGUAUAGUUUGGUUUUGUGGUUGAGUUCUCCUGCUACAGAACAGAUUUCCUUUUUCGACAUCACCUCACUUGAGUUGUGAUUUGUUUUAUCCUUCCUGUCGCGUUCGCCUUGGCGGCGUGACCCCGCAGCCGCUGCCUGCCGUGCGAGCCCGUGCCGGGGAGGGAGGCGUUGCCAUUGUUCGUGUCCCUGCGGCUGCGGCCGCCUGCGCUUCGCGGGAUGUCACCGGCCCUGUGACCGCGGGACUGCGGUGUCACCGGGAUGGGCGCUGCAGGGAAGGGCUGUUUCCUCCAGGCCCCGAGAAACGGGGGGCACUGACACUGCAAAACAUCGUGCACACAGCGCUGGCGAGGCUUCACCUGUAUCCCGUUUCCAGGGGCAGCGUUCUCGCUGCGGUUGUGCCGUGGCUGUUGUGACAGUGGCAGUCUCCAAGCCAGGCACGGGACUUCUUUUGCUGGCAUUUCUGUUUCUCUUCUAGUGCGUGAAGCUGAAGGAGAAACUGUUCAGACUUGGUUCUGGUUUUGUCUCUCCUGUUUUCCCGAGCUUUUUCCUUUUUUAAUGUUUAGGUUUUUGGGUUUUUUUGUGCCUUCAAGUCCAAAGUGAAGUAGAAUGGGCUCAUUUUCGGGCAUAUCCCCCUCUUUUGCAGCAGACUUUCUCCUGGCAGCUGUAGCAGGUUUGAUCUGCUGUGGGGGCCUCAUGGGGAUGGGUGACUGCUGGUGGUACAUGAGACACUUCAGAAUGGUGCAAGUAAGAAUUAGAAAAUAUUUGGCAGUCUGCCUUUCCCUGGGGAUGAAGGGUGAUGAUUUUCCCUGCAUGCAGCCUGGUUUGGAGAUGGAGACAGCUUCUGUGGGACAACACAGGUGUCUCUGCACUGGGGGCACUCAGUUUGUGAAGUGUUGGGGUGGGCUGUGGCAUACAGGGCAUCUCUCCUGUGUGCCCACUGUGGUCCUGGGCCAGUUACUUCAUCUGUUCUGGCAUCCUCAUGGCCCAUCUUUAGCCAAACUUGGAGAUGCUCCUCUCUUUCAAAGAUCUUUCAUGGAGUUCUUGAGGACAGGUCGUUAAUAUUAAAGGUGUGUUAAUGAAAUGUGAGCAUCCCCAAGACAUCCCCGGUCUCAUUUCCUGCUCGGGUGUUUGAACCAUGUUCCUGUUGGAGUUGGGAUGGCUUAGCGCCUUGUUAAAUGUAAGACUUCGGGAAAUUAAACAGUUAAAAUGGUGCUGGGAUGGCAGAACUUGGUGGAGCAAGCCUUGGAUUCAGAAGCAAU
Non-coding RNA from Cyanistes caeruleus (blue tit), 1962 nucleotides. The record is from RefSeq and is a predicted model, not a curated record. Lineage: Eukaryota; Metazoa; Chordata; Aves; Passeriformes; Paridae.